This 471-nucleotide ribosomal RNA is filed under the name uncultured Smithella sp. RNAcentral's name for it is "bacterial SSU rRNA". It matches the Rfam family "Bacterial small subunit ribosomal RNA", at positions 912 to 1382 of the family's 1533-position model. The record is from RNAcentral. Lineage: Bacteria; Pseudomonadati; Thermodesulfobacteriota; Syntrophia; Syntrophales; Smithellaceae.
GACGGGGGCCCGCGACAAGCGGUGGAGCAUGUGGUUUAAUUCGAUGCAACGCGAAGAACCUUACCUGGGCUUGACAUCCCGGGAAUCCCUUGGAAACAAGGGAGUGCCCUUCGGGGAACCUGGAGACAGGUGCUGCAUGGCUGUCGUCAGCUCGUGUCGUGAGAUGUAGGGUUAAGUCCCGCAACGAGCGCAACCCCUAUUGUUAGUUGCCAUCAUUCAGUUGGGCACUCUAGCGAGACUGCCGGUAAUAAACCGGAGGAAGUGGGAUGACGUCAAAUCAUCAUGCCCCUUAUGACCUGGGCUACACACGUGCUACAAUGGUUGGUACAACGAGUUGCGAGUCGGUGACGGCGAGCUAAUCUCUUAAAGCCAAUCUCAGUUCGGAUUGUAGGCUGCAACUCGCCUACAUGAAGUCGGAAUCGCUAGUAAUCGCGGAUCAGCACGCCGCGGUCGAAUACGUUCCCGGGCCUU